Molecule: non-coding RNA, 103 nt
Filed under: Erysipelothrix rhusiopathiae
Lineage: Bacteria; Bacillati; Bacillota; Erysipelotrichia; Erysipelotrichales; Erysipelotrichaceae
Also listed under: 2 other names
Description: Guanine sequence
Rfam family: Purine riboswitch aptamer
About the family: Riboswitches are metabolite binding domains within certain messenger RNAs that serve as precision sensors for their corresponding targets.
Source: RNAcentral
AAUAUCCAUGUUUUUACGAAUCGUAUAUCAUCACUAAUAUGGAGUGAUAGUUUCUAGCCGAUACCAAUGUAAAUUUCGGACUACGAUAGGAAAGUUUUUUUCC